Molecule: ribosomal RNA, 1604 nt
Filed under: metagenome
Description: SSU rRNA
Rfam family: Eukaryotic small subunit ribosomal RNA
Source: RNAcentral
GGCGAUGAUACAUACAAGUUUCUGCCCUAUCAACUUUCGAUGGUAGGAUAUUGGCCUACCAUGGUUGUAACGGGUAACAGGGAAUUAGGGUUCGAUUCUGGAGAGGGGGCCUGAGAAAUGGCCACCACUUCCAAGGAAGGCAGCAGGUACGCAACUUACCCAAUCCCGACACGGGGAGGUAGUGACAAGAAAUACCAGGAUAGGGCCCAAAACGGGUACUACUCUCUGGAAUGAGUACAAUUUAAAAACCUUAACGAGGAGCAAUUGGAGGGCAAGUCUGGUGCCAGCAGCCGCGGUAAUUCCAGCUCCAAUAGCGUAUAUUAAUACUGUUGCAGUUAAAACGCUCGUAGUUGGAUUUCGGAGCGUAUGGUUUCUGUGGCCCGACGUAAUGUUGCGGCCCGGUGCCUACCUCCUAGUUUUCGAAUGCACGCCCCCAUCCUUAACUGUGUGGGGAGUCGGGCUUCGGAUCGUUUACUUUAAAAAAAUUAGAGUGUUCAAGGCAGGCGUAACUCUAGCCUUUUGAAUACAUUAGCAUGGGAUAAUGGAACAGGAAGUGUAGCCUGUUUCGUUGGUUUCUGGGCUAUACUUAAUGAUUAAAAGGGAUAGUUGGGGGUAUUGGUAUUUAGUUGUCAGAGGUGAAAUUCUAAGAUUAUCUAAAGACCAACUACUGCGAAAGCAUUUACCAAGGAUGUUUUCAUUAAUCAAGAACGAAAGUUGGGGGAUCGAAGAUGAUCAGAUACCGUCGUAGUCCUAACCUUAAACUAUGCCGACCAGGGAUUCGGGGAUGUUGUAUGAAUGGCUCUCCGGGCACCUUGUGAGAAAUCAUAAGUAUCUGGGUUCCGGGGGGAGUAUGGUCGCAAGGCUGAAACUUAAAGGAAUUGACGGAAGGGCACCACCAGGAGUGGAACCUGCGGCUUAAUUUGACACAACACGGGAAAACUUACCAGGUCCAGACACAGGAAGGAUUGACAGAUUGAUAGCUCUUUCAUGAUUCUGUGGGUGGUGGUGCAUGGCCGUUUCCAGUUGGUGGAGUGAUUUGUCAGGUUAAUUCCGUUAACGAACGAGACCUCAGCCUAUUAAAUAGUCCUGCGAAUGGGAGCCCCCAUUUAACAGGGGGAUAAGGGGGCGGAGCCCUUCGGGGUUUCUUAGCCCCCCCUCUUUUGGGUGUGCUCAUUCCACCAUUCGCAGAGAUCUUCUUAGAGGGACUAUUCGAACUCGAGCGAAUGGAAGUUUGAGGCCAAAACAGGUCUGUGAUGCCCUGAGAUGUCCUGGGCUGCACGCGCGUUACACUGAUGCAUUCAACGAGCUUUUUUCCUUGCCCGAAAGGGCUGGGUAAUCUUUUCAAAGUGCAUCGUGAUGGGAAUAGAGCAUUGCAAUUAUUGCUCUUGAACGAGGAAUUCCUAGUAAGUGCAAGUCAUCAACUUGCGCUGAUUACGUCCCUGCCCUUUGUACACACCGCCCGUCGCUCCUACCGAUUGAAUGGUCCGGCAAGGACUCCGGAUGGCCGGGUUGCGCGGUGCCCCGUAAAGGGGUUUUACUGUGCCCUGUUGUCAGAAGCUGUUCAAGCCUUACCAUUUAGAGGAAGGAGAAGUCGUAACAAGGUU